UGGGGGUGUCUUGGAUCAUUCCUGAAGUAGGAUCACUGUCUCAGGGAGUGUCUUGAAUCAUUCCUGAGGUGUAAGGAUUGUUACAGGAGAUGUCUUGAAUCAUCAGAGGAAAGACCACUACACCAAGUGGUGUCUUGGAUCAUCCCUGAGGUGUGAACUUUGCACCCGGAAGUGUCUUAUCAUGCCUGAGGUGUGACCCAUGUACCAGGAGGUCUCUUGUAUCAUCCCUGAGAUGGGAUCACACACCAUGAGGUGUCUUGGAUCAAAUCUGAGGUGCAGACGCUGCACAAGGAGGUCUCUUGAAUCAUCCCUGAGGUGGCAGCACUGCACCAGAAGGUGUAUUGGAUCAUCCCUCAGGUGUGAACACUGCACCAGGAAGUGUCUAAAAUCAUGCCUGAGGUGUCAGCACUGCACCAGGAGGUGUUUUUGAUCAUCCCUAAGGUGCAGGCACUGCACCAGGAGGUCUCUUGGAUUAUGCCUGAGGUUUGAGCACUGCAUCAGGAAGUGUCUUUUAUCAUCCCUGAUGUGUAAGCAUUGCACCAGGAGGUGUCUUGCGUCAUUCCUGAGGUGUGUACACUGCACCAGGAGUUGUUCUGCAUUAUUCCUGAGGUCGGAGCACUGCAUCACAAGUGUCUUGGAUCGUGCCUGAUGGUGCCUGACCAGCAAGUGUCUUAACUCAUCCCUGAGGAGGGAGUACUGUAACAGGUGUCUUGGAUCAUCCCUUGGAGUGCAGCACUACACCACCAGGUGCUUUGAAUCAUCUCUGAGGUGUGAGCAGUGCACCAGGAAGUGUCUUGUAUUAUGACUGAGUGUGAAUACUUCACCAGGUAGUUUUUUGGAUAAUUCCUAGGUGUGACCGCUGCACCAGGAGGUAUCUCGGAUCAUGCCAGAGUUGUGAGCACUGCAUCAGGAGAUGUUUUGGAUCAUCCCUGAGGUGUGACCACUGGACCAGGAGGUGUCUUGGAUCAUGCCUGAGUGUGAGCACUGUACCAGGUGGGUUUUUUGUAUCACCCCUAGGUGUGAGUACUGCAUCAGGAAGUACCUUUGAUCAUGUAUGAGUUGUGAUCACUGCACCAGGACAUGUCUUAAAUCAUAUCUGAGUUGUGAUCACUGCACCAAGAGGUGUUUUGGAGCAUCCCUGAGGUGUAAGCACUGCACCAAGAGGUGUCUUGGAUCAUGCCUGAGUUGUGACCACUCCACCAGGAUAUGUUUUGGAACAUACCUGAGGUGUGAGCACUGCACCAGGAGGUGUCUUAGAUUAUGCCUGAGUGUGAGCACCUCACCAGGAUGUACCUUGGAUCAUGCCUGAGUUUUGUGGGCACUGCACCAGGAUGUGUUUUGGAUAAUCCCUGAGGUGUGAGCACUGCACCAGGAAGUGUUUUGUAUUAUGCCUGAGUGUGAACACUGCACCAGGUGGUUUUUUGGAUGAUUCCUAGGUGUGACCACUGCACCAUCAUCAUGCCAGAGUUGUGAGCACUGCAUCAGGAGAUGUUUUGGAUCAUCUCUGAGGUGGGAUCACUGUACCAGGGGUGUCUUGAAUCAUCCCUGAGGGGUGAACACUGUGACAGGAGGUGUCUUGAAUCAUCCCUGAGGUAAGAGCACUGCACCAGGAGGUCUUUGGAUCAUCAUACCUGAGGUGUGAACAUUUCACCCAGAAGUGUCAUAUCAUGUCUGAGGUGUGACCCAUGCACUAGGAGGUGUUUUGUAUCAUGCCUGAGUUGUGACCACUGUACCAGAGGGUGUUUUGGAACAUCCCUGAGGUGUGAGCACUGCACCAGGUGGUGUCUUGGAUCAUCUCUGUAGUGUGAGAAUUACACAAAGAGGUGUUUUUAAUCAUCCCUGGGGUGAGAUCACUACACCAGGAAUUGUGUUGGAUCAUGCCUGAGUGUGAGCACUGCACCAGGAGGUAUUUUGAAUCAUGCCUGAGUUGUGAGCACUGCAUCAUGAGGUGUUUUGGAUCAUCCCUGAGGUGCAAGCACUGCACCAGGGGGUGUCUUGGAUCAUCCCUGAUGUGUGAGCACUGCACCAGGAGAUGUCUUGGAUCAUCCCUGAGGUGUAAGCACUGCACAAAGGACUGUCUUGUAUUAUUCCUGAGUGCAAACGCUGCACCAGGUGUCUUUUUGGCUCAUUCCUAGGUGUGACCACUGCACCAGGAGGUAUCUCAAGUCAUGCCAGAGAUGUGAGCACUGCAUUAGAAGAUGUUUUGGAUCAUCCCUAAGGUGUGAGCACUGGACCAGGAGGUCUCUUGGAUCAUCCCUGAGUUGAGAGCACUGUUCCAAGAGGUGUCUUGGAUCAUGCCUGAGUGUGAGCACUGCACCACGUGGUUUUUUUGGAUCAUCCCUAGGUGUGAGCACUGCACCAGGAGGUAUCUUGGAUCAUGUCUGAGUUGUGAUCACUGCACCAGGAGGUGUCUUAAAUCAUAUCUGAGUUGUGAGCACUGCACCAAGAGGUGUUUUGGAGCAUCCCUGAGGUGUGAGCACUGCAUGAGGUGGUGUCUUGGAUCAUCCCUGUAGUGUGAAAACUGCACAAGGAGGUAUUUUCCAUCAUCCCUAAGGUGGGAGCACUACACCAAGAAGUGUGUUGGAUAAUGCUUGAGAUGUGAGCACUGCACCAGGAGGUGUCUUAGAUCAUGCCUGAGUGUGAGCACCUCACCAGGAUGUACCUUGCAUGAUGCCUGAGUUGUGUGGGCACUGCAUCAGGAUGUGUUUUGGAUCACCCUUGAGGUGUGAGCACUGUACCAGGAAUUGUCUUGGAUCAUCCCUGAGUGUGAGCACUACACCAGGAGGUGUUUGGGGUCAUCCAUAAGGUCUCAGCACCGCACCAGGUUUCUUGUAUUAUGCCUGAGUGUGAGCACUGCACCAGGAGAUAUUUUGAAUCAUGUCUGAGUUGUGAGCACUGCAUCAGGAGGUAUUUUGGAUCAUCCCUGAGGUGUGAGCAUUGCACCAGGAGGUGUCUUGGAUCAUCCCUGAGGUGUGAACAUUGCACCCAGAAGUGUCUUAUGUCAUGCCUGCAGUGUGAGCACUGCACCAGGAUAUCUAGGAUCAUCCCUGAAUUGUGAGCACUAAACCAGGAGGUGUCUUGAUUCAUCCCUGAGGUGUGAGCACCUCACCAGGAGGUAUCUUGGAUCAUCCCUGAGAUGUGAACACCUCACCAGGAAGUGUCUUGGAUCAUGUCUGAGUUGUGAGCACUGCACCAGGACGUGUCUUAAAUCAUCUCUGAGGUUUGAGCACUACACCAGGAGGUGUCUUAAAUCAUGCUGAAAAGUGACCACUGCACCAGGAGGCAUCUUGGAUCAUGUCUCAGUUGCAACAGGAGGUGUCUUGGAUCAUCCCUGUGGUAUAAGCACUGCACCAGAAGGUGUCUUGGAUCAACCCUGGGAUGGAGGCAGUGCACCAGAAGGUGUCUUGGAUCAUCCCUGAUGUGGGAGCACUGCAUCAGGAGAUCUCUUGGAUCAUCGCUGAGGUGUGAGCACUGCACCAGGAGGUAUCUGGAAUGAUUUUUGAGGAGAGUGUAGCGCACCAGGAGGUAUCUUGGAUCUACCCUGAGGUGUGAGCACUGCAACAGGAAGUGUCUUGGAUCAUCCCUGAGGUGUGAGCACUGCAACAGGAUGUGUCCUCAAUCAUCCAUGAAGGGGGAUCACUGCACCAGGAGGUGUCUUGUAUCAUUGCUGAGGUGGAAGCACUGCACAAGGAAGUGUCUUAGAUCAACCUGACUUGUGAGCACUGCACCAGAAGGUGUCUUGGAUCAUUGCUAAGAUGCAAGCAAUGCACCAGCAGAUGUCUCAGAUCGUCCUUUAGGUGGGAGCGCUACACGAGGGGUGUCUUGGAUCAUCCCUGAGGAGGGAGCACUACACCAGGAGGUGUCUUGGAUCAUUUCUGAGGUGCAGGCACUGCAUCAUGAGGUGUCUUGGAUCGUCGCUGAAGUGUAAGCACUGCACCAGGAGGUGUUGUGAAUCAUCGCUGAGGUGUGAGCACUGCACCAGUAGGUGUCUUGGAUCAUCCUUGGGGUGUGAACAUUGCAUCAGGAGAUGUCUCAGAUCAUCCCUGAGGUGCAGGCACUGUACCAGGAGGUAUCUUGAAUCAUUUCUGAGGUGCAGGUGCUGCACCAGGUGUCUUGAAUCAGCCCUGAGGUGUGAGCACUACACCAGGAGGUGUCUUGAUUCAUCCCUGAGGUGUGAGCACUGCACCAGGUGUCUUGAUUCAUCUCUGAGGUGUGAGCACUGCACCAGGAGCUGUCUUGAAUAACUUCUGAGGUGUGACCAUUGUACCAGGAGGUGUCCUGUAUCAUCCCUGUGGAGGGAGCACUGCACCAGAAGGUGUAUUGGAUCAUCCCUGAAGUGUGAACACUACAUCAAAAGGCAUCACGAAUCAUCCCUAAGGCUUGAGCACUGCACCAGGAGGUGUCUUUGAUCAUGCCUGAGAUGUAUGCACUGCACUAGGAGGUGUUUUGGAUCAUCCCUAGGUGGGAGCACUACCCCAAGAGGAGUCUUGGAUCAUCUUUGAGGUGGGAGUACCACACCACGAGGUGUCUUGGAUCAUCCCUGAGGUGGAAGCACUGCACCAGGAGUUGUCUUGGAUCAUUCCUGAGGUGUGAGUACUGCACCAGGAGGUAUCUUGUAUCAUCCCCGAGGUCAGAGCACUACACCAGGAGAUGUUUGGAUCAAACCUGACAUGUAGGCACCGCACCAGAAGGUCUCUUGGAUGAUGCCUGAAUUGUCAGCACUGCACCAGGAAGUGUAUUUUAUCAUCCUUGAGGUCAGAACACUGCACCAGCAAGUGUCUUGGAUUCUGCCUAAGGUGUGAGCACUGCACAAGCAGUUGUCUUGGCUCAUCCCUAAGAAGGGAGUACUGUGCCAGGGGGUGUCUUGGAUUAUGCCUGAGUUGUGAGCACUGUAUCAGGAGGUGUCUUGGAUCAGCCCUGAAUUGUGAGCACUGCACAAGGAGGUGUCUUGGAUCAUCCCUGAGGUGGGAGCACUGCACCAGGAGGUGUCUUCAAUCAUCCCUGAGGUGUGAGCACUGCACCAGGAGAUGUCUUGGAUCAUCCCUGAGGUAGGAUCACUACACCAGGAGGUUUCUUGGAUCAUUUCUGAAGUGUGAGCACUGCACCACAAGGUGUCUUGAAUCAUCCCUGAGGUCACGCUGAUGCAAGAGGUGGGCUCCCAUGGCCUUGGACUGCUUCACCCCUGUGGCUUUGCUUUCACAAGAUGGCAUUGAGUGUCUGAGGCAUUUCCAGGUGCACAGUGCAAGCUGUCAGCGGAUCUACCAUUCUGGGGUCUGAAGGACGGUGGCCCUCCUCUCACAGUUCAACCGGGCAGCACCCCCAUGGGGACUCCCUGUGGGGGCUCCAAUCCCACAUCUCCCUUCUUCAAUGCCCUAGCAGAGGUUCUCCAUGAGGGCUUUGCCCCUACAGCAGACUUCUGCCUGUACAUCCAGGUAUUUCCAUACAUCCUCUGAAAUCUAAGCUGAGGUUCCCAAACCUCAAUUCUUGACUCCUGUACACCCACAGGUCCAAGACCACGUGUAAGCCACCAAGGCUUGGGGCUUGCACCCUCUGAAGCAACAGCCUGAGCUCUAUGUUGGCCCCUUGAGCCACAGCUGGAACUCACUAUCACCAAAUCCCUAUACUACACAAAGCAGCAAGGCCCUAGGCCUAGCCCGUGAAACCCUUUUUUCCUCCUAGGCCUCUGGGCCUGUGAUGGGAGGGACUGCUGUGAAGAACUCUGACAUGCCCUGGAGACAGUUUCCCCAUUGUCUUGGUGAUUAACAUUUGGCUUUUCGUUACUGAUGCAAAUUUAUCUAGCUGGCUUGAAUUUCUUCUCCAAAAAUGGGUUUUUCUUUUCUAUCGCAUCAUCAGGCUGCAAAUUUUCCUAAGUUUUAUGUUCUGGUUCCCUUUUAAACAUAAGUUUUAAUUCCAAACCAUAUAUUUGUGAGUACAUAAAACUGAAUGCUUUUAACAGCACCCAAGUCACCUCUUGAAUGCUUUGCUGCUCAGAAAUUUCUUCUGCCAGAUACCCUAAAUCAUCUCUCUCAAGUUCAAAAUUCCACAGAUCUUUAGGGCAAGGGCAAAAUACUGCCAGUCUCUUUGCUAAAAUGUAGCAAGAGUCACCUUUAUUCCAGUUCCCAAAAAGUUCUUCAUCUCCAUCUGAGACCACCUCAGCCAGGACUUCAUUGUCCACAUCACUAUCAGCAUUUUGGUCAAAACCAUUAAACAAGUCUCUAGGAAGUUCCAACUUUCCUGGAAGACAUCUUCCUGUCUUCUUCUGAGCCCUCCAAACUGUUCCAACCUCUGCCUGUUACCCAGUUCCAAAGUCACUUCCACGUUUUUUAGUAUCUUUAUAGCAGCGCCCCACUACCCAGUAUCAAUUUACUGUUUUAUUCCAUUCUCAUGCUGCUAUGAAGAACUGCCUGAGACUGGGUAAUUUAUAAAGGAAAGAGGUUUAAAUUACUCACAGUUCUGCAGGGCUGGGGACGCCUCAGGAAACUUACAAUCAUGGCAGAAAGCAAAGGGGAAGCGGGCACGUCUUCAUGUGUCUGGAGAAGGAGGAAGAGAGCAAAGAGGGAGGUGCCACACACUUUCAAACAACCAGGUCUCCUGAGAACUCAUUCACCAUCACAAGAAUGCAAGGGGGAAAUCUGCCCCCAUGAUCCAAUCACCUCCAACCAGCCCACUUCCCCAACACUGGGAAUUACAAUUCGACAUGAGAUUUGGUUGGGGACACAGAGCCAAACUAUAUCAGUGCUUAACCUCAUUUGAGUUGUCACACGCAACCAGGAGGCUUGAAUAACCCACUGCUUCCAGACUAGAUGGCUUUCUGUGUGACCCCAAGAGAGACUCCCAGCCUCUGCUGAUUCCUAUGUAAAGUAUGGGUUGGAACUGGAUGGUAUCGUAGGUUCCUUUAGCUCCGUAUGAUUCUCAUGUAAAAUUCCACCCAGCAGUCAGGCAAGAGGUGCACUGGGGAGAGGAGGUGGAACCCCCAGGUUGUUGAUAAAAUCCUGAAAUCCCUUGGCUCUGUGCUUCAAACAGCCACCUUCCCAACAUCUAUGACUCUUUGAACUGCUCAUAAAGAGCGCUGAUUAAUGUGACACUUCACAUGCCCACCAUGAAAUUAGGAAGGCCCUUAGAUCUCCUUCAAACCCGCGGUGCCGGUGCCUUCGCCCCAUCAAUCAGAGAUGAAACUGUGAUUGUGCUGCAAGGAGACGAGGCCAUCCUGGAGUUCUGCCAUGAAAGAAUCGCUGGGACUCAAAGGAGGGGAAAACAAGGGAAGGAGAGAGGGGGAAAGGGAAAGAGAAGCUGCUUCCAGAAGGAAUAAAUUUGUGUGUGUACUUUGAUCCUGCUAUGAUUUUUAUUUGUUUUAGCCACAUCCUUUUCACUGCACCACUCAGCUAAAGGUGCUUUAAAUUAGAUGGCGCUAGGAAACCCUCUUCCUCCCCCCUUCUUCCCCUGCCUGCCACGCAGGCCCACAGUCUUCAGUCAGUGUGAGAUGUAUAAUCAUGUCAUGCUCAAAUGUAACUGGAAUAAAUUGAGACAAAUAAACUCAAAGGCACCACAUGCAUUUAGAAUGCUCUUUGUCAGGGUUUCCUAAUAUGCUUGCAGGCAGCUAACUCAACGCAAACAAAAAGUGGCAGUGUUUACCCAGCUUUGCUUUGGAGCAUGUUGAGAGCCUCUGACUCACAGAUCGCUGCUGAUUGAAUCUGCACAUACAUUGGUGUUCACUGUCCCCCAGCUAACUUCCUUCCCUCUUCCACACUCCUCCCUUUCCCAGGUGUCCAGGCUGAACAGGGACUUGUUUGGGGUCCUCUGUUCCUCUCCUCUACCUGUCUUCAGUAGGAUAGCACAAAGAUCACAAAGGCCUUGAGAGCAGAGAUGGGAAGUGAGAACCGUGUCUCACUGUGAGGACCCCAGGACCUUUGUUCAAACAAAGCAAAGCAGCACCUGGCAUGGCCGGCCCGUUCUGCUCAGCGUUCAGGAGCGAGCUGCCUACCAGAAACCUCCUCUUUGGUGCUCUUGUUAAAAAAGAUGCCUCAGGGCACCUUUAAGGGAAGAUCUGAAAUGAACCUCUUACCUUCUAAAACCUUCUUUCUUGGCCAAUCUUGUUCCAUGACCGGCCACAUGGCUGUGGAUUUACUGGCUCUCUGGACCCUCACCCUCCCAUCAGGGUGCCAUCUUAUCCAUGUCUCUGAUUGAGGGACACACAUGUCAGCUCUCUGCUCCUGCACUGCCAGGCACAGCCAUGAUGGUCUCAGAGCCAUUGGUCCCCAGCACAGAGGGGAGCUUCAAAUGGUACCAUGAUGAUGAAGGUGGUAGGUGCCUAGUAGCUACGGACUUUGGAUUAUAUCCAUUUCCAAUGAUUAACAAGAAGCCCCUUUAAUUUUAAGCAUGUACUUUUUAUUCAGAAAUAAGGUCCCACUCUGGCACCCAGGUGGGAGUGCAGUGGUGCCGUCAUGGCUCAUUGCAGCCUCAACCUCCCAGGCUCAAGCGAUCCUCCCACCCCAGCCUCGCAAGUAGCUGGGACUGCAGGUGCACCAUCAUGCCUGGCUAAUUUUUUAAAUUACUAUUUUAAUAGAGAUGGGGUAUUGCUAUGUUUCCAAGGCUGGUCUCAAACUCCUAACCUCAAGUGAUCCUCCCACCUCAGCCUCCCAAAGUGCUGGGAUUACCGACGUGAACCACUGUUCUGGACCAAGUAUGUACAUUUAUAAAUAACACCCAUUUUCCUGUGAUUUCCUUAGCUUCACUCUAUGAACUGCUAGCUUGUCAUGCCUCCCUGUCAUAUUCUCUGACAGUUUCCAGCCUUAUGCCCCAUGGGUGUCUCUCUCUCUCUCUGUCUCUCUCUGCUUUCUUUAAUUCCUCUUUGGCUGCCAAGAGUUCAUUUUCUCAGCCUGUGACAGCACCCCAUGUUCC
RNAcentral lists this long non-coding RNA (8898 nucleotides) under Homo sapiens (human). Its description in RNAcentral is "HSALNT0049525". Lineage: Eukaryota; Metazoa; Chordata; Mammalia; Primates; Hominidae. The record is from RNAcentral.